AUUGAACGCUGGCGGCAUGCUUUACACAUGCAAGUCGAACGGUAACAGGCCUUCGGGUGCUGACGAGUGGCGAGCGGGUGAGUAAUGCAUCGGAACGUACCCAGAGGUGGGGGAUAACGCAGCGAAAGCUGUGCUAAUACCGCAUGUGAUCUGAGGAUGAAAGCGGGGGACCGAGCAGCAAUGUUUGGCCUCGCGCCUUUGGAGCGGCUGAUGUCGGAUUAGCUAGUUGGUGGGGUAAAGGCCUACCAAGGCGACGAUCCGUAGCUGGUCUGAGAGGACGACCAGCCACACUGGGACUGAGACACGGCCCAGACUCCUACGGGAGGCAGCAGUGGGGAAUUUUGGACAAUGGGCGCAAGCCUGAUCCAGCAAUGCCGCGUGCGGGAAGAAGGCCUUCGGGUUGUAAACCGCUUUUGGCAGGAACGAAACGGUGUCCGCUAAUACCGGGCGCUAAUGACGGUACCUGCAGAAUAAGCACCGGCUAACUACGUG
RNAcentral lists this ribosomal RNA (492 nucleotides) under uncultured bacterium. RNAcentral describes it as "partial 16S ribosomal RNA". It matches the Rfam family "Bacterial small subunit ribosomal RNA", at positions 29 to 507 of the family's 1533-position model. The record is from RNAcentral.